This 400-nucleotide unclassified non-coding RNA is filed under the name soil metagenome. RNAcentral's name for it is "partial contains 5.8S ribosomal RNA, internal transcribed spacer 2, and large subunit ribosomal RNA". The stretch from base 1 to 122 matches the Rfam family "5.8S ribosomal RNA", at positions 35 to 154 of the family's 154-position model. The record is from RNAcentral.
GAUGAAGAACGCAGCGAAAUGCGAUACUUGGUGUGAAUUGCAGAAUCCCGUGAACCGUCGAGUCUUUGAACGCAAGUUGCGCCUCAAGCCAUUAGGUUGAGGGCACGUCUGCCUGGGCGUCACAUAUCGUUGCCUGAUGCCAGUUUCCUCGUGAUGGGUGACUGUGCAGGGCGAAUGAUGGCUUCCCGUGAGCAUUGUUGCCUCAUGGUUGGUUGAAAAUUGAGUCCUUGGUAGGGAGCGCCGUGAUAGAUGGUGGUUGAGUGACGAACGAGACCCAAUCAUGUGAGACCCCUACCGAAUUUGGCCUUCAUGACCCACAUGCGUCUUUGGAACGCUCAUGACGAGACCUCAGGUCAGGCGGGGCUACCCGCUGAGUUUAAGCAUAUCAAUAAGCGGAGGA